Molecule: long non-coding RNA, 2326 nt
Organism: Numida meleagris (helmeted guineafowl)
Lineage: Eukaryota; Metazoa; Chordata; Aves; Galliformes; Numididae
Source: Ensembl
CUAUUUUUAAUGUGUUUUUGGAGGAUCUAAGUCCAUAUUUCAUUUCCUAAGUGAACUUGCAGUAAACUUUAAAAAAAAAAAACAAAAAACUUUUAUGGCCUGAAUUUUAUUUAAAAUUUCUCAGAAUGACAAAGUUACUUCUGCAUGCCCUUUUAAAUCUGUGUUUCUGCCUUCACCUGUAUUGCUUUUUCAGCAGUUUCUGAUUUAAAGAAAUCAUUACAAUAGUUUGCUUCUUGAAUUUUAACUUUUUGUUAACUAAUGAAAGAAUCAUUGUGAUUUCUUUAGGAUUAUGCUUAUGUUGACCUGACUGCUAAUGCCAGACUGGUGAUUAAUAACACCAUAAACUGUCUCAGAAACAGCUGAAUACAUCUCAUACAACAUUGCAACUCUUGCAGGUGACUGAAAGCCGCUGCAGCAGAUUGAUCUCUCCACCACAGACAGAAGCAGCGUUCACCCAUUCAGAAUGCCUUGGCUUAAUUCUCUUGAGCAGUAUGAUGCAGGCCAAUGUGAUGCAAAAUGGUAUAAAAGCUUUUGGAAGAGGACAGCUCAAAAGGACACCAUCAAAGGUAGAAGAGCUGAUGGAAACUGCUUUCCUUUAGUGAAUUUCACAGGAAAGCAAGUGAUCACAUCUGUGGUUCAUGAUGUUGCUUUGGGUUCCCCAGACCAGCCAACACACGUGCAGGUAUGAUUUCACUCCUGAGCACUCUUGUUGUGGUCUCAGGGAUUCCUUCAGAAGAUGAAUGGCCCCAAGAAAAGAAAGCUUGACCUUAAGUAAUGAGCCUACUCCAUUCUUCCCUGAAGUCCUAGCAGAGCAGAAUUUGUUCUGUGCACAGCAUGCCUUUCUGUGCAUCAUAUUCCUUCUGUCACCGGUCACUAUUGGUUUUGAAUGCUGGAACAGAAAUUUCUCCAUCUUCUGUGAGCAUCCUUCAGCAUGUGGGAGGUAACUCAUGCCCAAGCUGUUACCUUAGGCAUGGAACACAGGCUCAUACAUGUAAGUAACUGUAAUUUAAUUUGCUCAGAUUUGGCAGAUCUGUAAGGGGUGUGGAGACUGCCUCCUCCCUGAUGUAUCCCAUGGCCUGCUCUUCCAGGGUCUUCUUGUGCUUUGAAACUGUAACCAUUCAUAGAAUCACUAAGGUUGGAAAAGACCACCAAGGUCAUCUAACCCAACCAUCAGCCCAUCACCACCAUGCCCAACGAUGUCCCUCAGUGCCACAUCUAUCCUGUUCUUGAACACUUCCAGGGACAGUGACCCCACUACCACCCUGGGCAUCUUGUUCCAAUACCUCACCAUUCUUUCUGAGUAGAAUUUUUUUCCUAAUAUUCAACCUGAACAUUUCCUGGCACACCUUAAUGACAUUCUCUCUCCUUCUGUUGCUGUUACCUGGGAGAAGAGGCUGACCCCCACUUUGCUACAACCUCAUUUCAGGCAGUUGUUGAGAGUGAUAAGGUCUUCCCUGCUGCUUUCCUGCUGCUGCUUCUCCAGAAGAUGCUCUGUUGCUGCUCCCUCUGUGGGAUUUUGGUCUCGGUUUCUUCUGGAAGAGCAGGGGAAUGGCUGAGGCAAGGGGAAGGGGAGCUGAGGUGAUGACAGUGAGGAGACGCUGUGCAAGAGAGCAAGCACUGUGCUUAGAUCCUAAAUGCUUACAAUCCUGUAUGUAGGAAUAUGUAUCUCUGGCACUGUCUGACCUAGUAUGUUGCAAAUGAAGGUGGGACAGUAGUGCUUUCUGCAAUCUGUUACAGCUGCCAGUGUAACCGUGGUGCAAGUAGGGUAGGAUGAGCUUGAGGUGCGUAAAUAUUGAGCCAGUCUCUGUGGUGUGUCUUUGUGUAGCCACUGCCUGUAGCAGUGUGGGAGAGCAUGGCUUGACCUUGCUAGAUGUGAAGCUGUGGCCACGUGCCUGUAGUUCUGAGUGCUCUGUAGUGCACUGCUCUGUUUCAGCUUCUGCUGACAGCAUUGUAAAACAGUAACACUGUGAAAUUGAACAAGCUCGUGAGUGGAAAUGGGUGAGGGGUGUUUGUCUUCCUCCUGCAGUGGGAUGAACUGUGAGCAGCAGUGCACGGAGCCAUCUCUCAGGGCAUGGAAGAGAGUUCUUUUCUUUUUACACAUUCUAUUCACGUUUUACAUGAUUUUCAUUGUAUUCUCAAGGGAUACAUCCAGGCAACCUGCUCUAGCAGAGGAGUUGGACUAAGUGAUCUCUAGAGGUCCUUUCCAACCACUGCGAUUCUGUGAAGAGAUGUAUUUCCUCUAUACGUUUCUACCUGAAAAAUGUUGAAAAGGAUGAGUAAUAUGAGUUGAAAUAAAACUUCCUUUUUUGCCUUCCUUGCUCUUUGC